RNAcentral lists this ribosomal RNA (494 nucleotides) under uncultured bacterium. RNAcentral describes it as "partial 16S ribosomal RNA". It matches the Rfam family "Bacterial small subunit ribosomal RNA", at positions 28 to 507 of the family's 1533-position model. The record is from RNAcentral.
GACGAACGCUGGCGGCGUGCUUAACACAUGCAAGUCGAACGGCAAGGCCUGCUUUCCCUUGUGGAUUGCGGGUACUCGAGUGGCGAACGGGUGAGUAACACGUGAGUGAUCUGCCCCCAACUUGGGUAUAAGCCUGGGAAACUGGGUCUAAUUCCCGAUAGGACUGCAGGGUGGUGCCUGUGGUGGAAAACGAUUUUCUAGUGGUUGGGGAUGAGCUCGCGGCCUAUCAGCUUGUUGGUGGGGUAAUGGCCUACCAAGGCGGCGACGGGUAGCCGGCCUGAGAGGGUGGACGGCCACAUUGGGACUGAGAUACGGCCCAGACUCCUACGGGAGGCAGCAGUGGGGAAUAUUGCACAAUGGGCGGAAGCCUGAUGCAGCGACGCCGCGUGGGGGAUGACGGCCUUCGGGUUGUAAACUCCUUUCGACCGCGAGGAAGCCACCUGGUUGGAAGGGUGGUGACGGUAGUGGUAGAAGAAGCACCGGCUAACUACGUG